UCGAAAAUCCGUAGACGCUACGGACUUGAAAAUCCGUUGGCUUUAUUGACCGUGAGGGUUCAAGUCCCUCUACCCCCA
This 78-nucleotide transfer RNA is filed under the name Hamatocaulis vernicosus. Its description in RNAcentral is "partial tRNA-Leu". The record is from RNAcentral. Lineage: Eukaryota; Viridiplantae; Streptophyta; Bryopsida; Hypnales; Calliergonaceae.